UAUCGGUUCCCCCGCAACGAUUAUCUGUAAAUCCGCCAGGCCUGGAAGGGAGCAACGGUAGCAGGGACAUUGGGUGCCGGGGUGCGCUGACGCCG
This 95-nucleotide signal recognition particle RNA is filed under the name Gammaproteobacteria bacterium. RNAcentral describes it as "signal recognition particle sRNA small type". It matches the Rfam family "Bacterial small signal recognition particle RNA". Rfam says of the family: The signal recognition particle (SRP) is a universally conserved ribonucleoprotein involved in the co-translational targeting of proteins to membranes. Archaeal SRP consists of a 7S RNA and homologues of the eukaryotic SRP19 and SRP54 proteins. Lineage: Bacteria; Pseudomonadati; Pseudomonadota; Gammaproteobacteria. The record is from RNAcentral.